AUACUUACCUGGCAGGGGAGAUACCAUGAUCACGAAAGUGGUUUUCCCAGGGCGAGGCUCAUCCAUUGCACUCCGGGUGUGUUGACCCCUGCAAUUUCCUCAAAUGUAGGAAACUCAACUGAGUAAUUUGUGGUUGUGGGGGACUAUGUUCACGCUCUCCCCUG
Small nuclear RNA from Molossus molossus (Pallas's mastiff bat), 164 nucleotides. RefSeq annotates it as U1 spliceosomal RNA. The transcript has a single exon. Lineage: Eukaryota; Metazoa; Chordata; Mammalia; Chiroptera; Molossidae. The record is from RefSeq and is a predicted model, not a curated record.